RNAcentral lists this ribosomal RNA (314 nucleotides) under Escherichia coli. RNAcentral's name for it is "partial 23S ribosomal RNA". It matches the Rfam family "Bacterial large subunit ribosomal RNA", at positions 1 to 310 of the family's 2925-position model. Lineage: Bacteria; Pseudomonadati; Pseudomonadota; Gammaproteobacteria; Enterobacterales; Enterobacteriaceae. The record is from RNAcentral.
GGGUUGUGAGGUUAAGCGACUAAGCGUACACGGUGGAUGCCCUGGCAGUCAGAGGCGAUGAAGGACGUGCUAAUCUGCGAUAAGCGUCGGUAAGGUGAUAUGAACCGUUAUAACCGGCGAUUUCCGAAUGGGGAAACCCAGUGUGAUUCGUCACACUAUCAUUAACUGAAUCCAUAGGUUAAUGAGGCGAACCGGGGGAACUGAAACAUCUAAGUACCCCGAGGAAAAGAAAUCAACCGAGAUUCCCCCAGUAGCGGCGAGCGAACGGGGAGCAGCCCAGAGCCUGAAUCAGUGUGUGUGUUAGUGGAAGCGUC